AUUCCAGCUCCAAUAGCGUAUAUUAAAGUUGUUGCAGUUAAAAAGCUCGUAGUUGGAUUUCUGGUGGGAGCGUUGGGCCGGCCCUAAGGGUCUGAGCUCAAAUGUUUUCCGCCAUCCUUGGAGGGAUGUUGUCUGGCAUUAAGUUGUCGGGCUUCCGAUCUCCAUCGUUUACUGUGAAAAAAUUAGAGUGUUCAAAGCAGGCUUAUGCCGUUGAAUACAUUAGCAUGGAAUAAUAAGAUAGGACCUUGGUACUAUUUUGUUGGUUUGCGUACCUAGGUAAUGAUUAAUAGGGACAGUUGGGGAUAUUACUAUUUCGUUGUCAGAGGUGAAAUUCUUGGAUUUACGAAAGAGUAACUACUGCGAAAGCAUUUAUCAAGGAUGUUUUCAUCG
RNAcentral lists this ribosomal RNA (390 nucleotides) under Bolidophyceae sp. Its description in RNAcentral is "partial small subunit ribosomal RNA". It matches the Rfam family "Eukaryotic small subunit ribosomal RNA", at positions 582 to 975 of the family's 1831-position model. The record is from RNAcentral. Lineage: Eukaryota; Bolidophyceae.